AAUUAUAGACUUCACCCUUUUUUUUAUUAAUUAUGUAACAAACAACGUUUUAAGAUUACAACCUAAAAUUGUCCUCUAUUCCAGCAAAUAUUAUCAGCUAAGCAAGAAAUAUUAAUUAUUGGAUAUUAAUUAAGCACAGUACCACUGUAUAUUUUAAGUAUAAUACCAUUUGAUUGAUUUCAAAAAUUAAUUGUCCAAAUUUUAACAUACCAGACAAUAAGGAAGUUUGGUGUUCCAAAAUUAGAUUUCGCAACCUGUCAACCACAUCGUACUGUACUAAUCUAUUGCCCUCAUAUUGUCAAUUCUCUCAUUGUAGAUCCCAGGAGCCAGUACUACCCACAAUCCAACCAAUAGAGUGUAGGUAAAUCGGGUUCAAACUGAACUAUCAAGCGAUGGUACUGAAAUCUUCAUUUUAUAAUGUGAAAUUGUUGUAAAUAGACAUUUCUCACUUCCCGUAAUUUUUAACAUUAAGUCUACAUUGUUUUCAACAGAACGGUCGAUGUAUGAAAACAAUACAGCAUACUAACGUUGAUGUGCGAAAGAAAUCAGUGUACGACACGAUCUGCAGAUUGUUACUAAAUUAGCAACCAGAAUACAGUUCCACAGUUAGCACGCUGGGGGCAUUAUUCAAUCCGUAGA
Molecule: long non-coding RNA, 639 nt
Filed under: Physcomitrium patens
Lineage: Eukaryota; Viridiplantae; Streptophyta; Bryopsida; Funariales; Funariaceae
Description: long non-coding RNA (PPAT_LNC006740)
Source: RNAcentral